AGAGUUUGAUCCUGGCUCAGGCUGAACGCUGGCGGCGUGCCUAACACAUGCAAGUCGAACGGACUUAAGAUGAAACCUAGUGAUUCUUAAGUUAGUGGCGGACGGGUGAGUAACGCGUGGGUAACCUGCCCUAUACCGGGGGAUAACACUUAGAAAUAGGUGCUAAUACCGCAUAAGCGCACGGGACCGCAUGGUCUUGUGUGAAAAACUCCGGUGGUAUAGGAUGGACCCGCGUCUGAUUAGAUAGUUGGUGGGGUAACGGCCUACCAAGUCGACGAUCAGUAGCCGGCCUGAGAGGGUGAACGGCCACAUUGGGACUGAGACACGGCCCAAACUCCUACGGGAGGCAGCAGUGGGGAAUAUUGCACAAUGGGGGAAACCCUGAUGCAGCAAUGCCGCGUGAGUGAAGAAGUAUUUCGGUAUGUAAAGCUCUAUCAGCAGGAAAGAAAAUGACGGUACCUGACUAAGAAGCCCCGGCUAACUACGUGCCAGCAGCCGCGGUAAUACGUAGGGGGCAAGCGUUAUCCGGAUUUACUGGGUGUAAAGGGAGCGUAGACGGUAUGGCAAGUCUGAAGUGANAGCCCGGGGCCCAACCCCGGGACUGCUUUGGAAACUGUCGCACUGGAGUGCGGGAGAGGUAAGUGGAAUUCCUAGUGUAGCGGUGAAAUGCGUAGAUAUUAGGAGGAACACCAGUGGCGAAGGCGGCUUACUGGACCGUAACUGACCGUGAGGCUCGAAAGCGUGGGGAGCAACAGGAUUAGAUACACUGGUAGUCCACACGGUACACGACGAUUACUAGGUGUCGGGGAGGUAUAGCUCUUCGGAGCCGCCGCACAGUCUAUGAGUCAUCACAUGCGGGAGUAUGCUGGCAAGAAUGCACUCUAAGGAAUUGACGGGGACCCGCACAUACGGUGGAGCAGGUGGUUAAUUAGAAGCAAUCGCGAUGAACCUUACCUGGUGAGGACAUACACGAUGACCGAUUUGUUAAGAGAGCUUGUAUUCGGGACAUAGGAGACAGCUGGUGCAUGGAUAUUGUCAGCUCGUGUCUUGAGAAGGUGGGUGGAGUCCCUCUCAGUGCCCAACCCCUAUUUUCACUAGUCAGCACGUAGGAUGGUCAUUGAGGAGAGAGUCCCGGGGAUCACCCGGAGGAAGGUGGGGAUGAGGUCCAAUCAUCACGCCCGGUAUGAUCAGGGCUAGACAAGUGGUACCAGGGCGUAUACAAGGGGAAGCGCGAGAGUGAUAUGGAGCUCAUCCCGUAUAGGACGUGGUCAGCCAGGAGUGAAGUACGCAUCUGGCAUACAUGAAGGUGGCAUCGAGUAGUAAUCGCGAAUCAGUAUGUCGCGCAGGAUAUGGUCACCGGCUCCAGUACACACCGCGAGUCAGGGCGAAUUCGUGGACGAUUCAGGGCUGUCCAUUCAGUGAGGCUUAUUCUGGUCUGCAUCUGCC
RNAcentral lists this ribosomal RNA (1446 nucleotides) under uncultured bacterium. Its description in RNAcentral is "partial 16S ribosomal RNA". It matches the Rfam family "Bacterial small subunit ribosomal RNA". The record is from RNAcentral.